UGGGGAAUAUUGGACAAUGGGCGGAAGCCUGAUCCAGCAACGCCGCGUGAGGGAUGACGGCCUUCGGGUUGUAAACCUCUUUCAGUACCGACGAAGCGCAAGUGACGGUAGGUACAGAAGAAGCACCGGCCAACUACGUGCCAGCAGCCGCGGUAAUACGUAGGGUGCGAGCGUUGUCCGGAAUUAUUGGGCGUAAAGGGCUCGUAGGCGGUUUGUCGCGUCGGGAGUGAAAACGCCGUGCUUAACACGGCGCUUGCCUUCGAUACGGGCAGACUAGAGGUAUGCAGGGGAGAACGGAAUUCCUGGUGUAGCGGUGAAAUGCGCAGAUAUCAGGAGGAACACCGGUGGCGAAGGCGGUUCUCUGGGCAUGACCUGACGCUGAGGAGCGAAAGUGUGGGGAGCGAACAGGAUUAGAUACCCUGGUAGUCCACACCGUAAACGUUGGGCGCUAGGUGUGGGGUCCAUUCCACGGAUUCCGUGCCGCAGCUAACGCAUUAAGCGCCC
RNAcentral lists this ribosomal RNA (504 nucleotides) under uncultured Actinomycetes bacterium. Its description in RNAcentral is "bacterial SSU rRNA". It matches the Rfam family "Bacterial small subunit ribosomal RNA", at positions 355 to 869 of the family's 1533-position model. The record is from RNAcentral. Lineage: Bacteria; Bacillati; Actinomycetota; Actinomycetes.